GGUUCCUACGGGGCGCAGCAGUGAGGAAUAUUGGUCAAUGGUCGGGAGGCUGAACCAGCCAAGCCGCGUGAGGGAGGAAGGUACAGAGUAUCGUAAACCUCUUUUGUCAGGGAACAAAGGCGGGGACGUGUCCCCGGAUGAGUGUACCUGAAGAAAAAGCAUCGGCUAACUCCGUGCCAGCAGCCGCGGUAAUACGGAGGAUGCGAGCGUUAUCCGGAUUUAUUGGGUUUAAAGGGUGCGCAGGCGGCCUGUUAAGUCAGCGGUAAAAGCCCGGGGCUCAACCCCGGCGAGCCGUUGA
Molecule: ribosomal RNA, 298 nt
Filed under: uncultured bacterium
Lineage: Bacteria
Description: partial 16S ribosomal RNA
Rfam family: Bacterial small subunit ribosomal RNA
Source: RNAcentral